CCUACGGGAGGCAGCAGUGGGGAAUAUUGGGCAAUGGGCGCAAGCCUGACCCAGCAACGCCGCGUGAAGGAAGAAGGCUUUCGGGUUGUAAACUUCUUUUGUCAGGGACGAAGCAAGUGACGGUACCUGACGAAUAAGCCACGGCUAACUACGUGCCAGCAGCCGCGGUAAUACGUAGGUGGCAAGCGUUAUCCGGAUUUACUGGGUGGAAAGGGCGUGUAGGGGGGAUUGCAAUUCAGAGGUGAAAGCCACGGGCUCAACCUGUGACAUGUAUUUGAAACUGUGGUUCUUGAGUACUGGAGAGGUAGACGGAAUGCCUAGUGUAGCGGGGAAAUGCGUAGAUAUUAGGAGGCACACCAGUGGGGAAGGCGGGCUGCGGGACAGAAAAUGACGCGGAGGCGUGAAAGCGUGGGGAGCAAACAGGAUUAGAUACCCGGGUAGUA
RNAcentral lists this ribosomal RNA (443 nucleotides) under uncultured bacterium. RNAcentral describes it as "partial 16S ribosomal RNA". It matches the Rfam family "Bacterial small subunit ribosomal RNA", at positions 338 to 795 of the family's 1533-position model. The record is from RNAcentral.